GCCCUCGUAGCUCAGUCGGAUAGAGCAACCGCCUCCUAAGCGGUAGGUCGCAGGUUCGAAUCCUGCCGAGGGCGCCA
This 77-nucleotide transfer RNA is filed under the name Thiohalocapsa halophila. RNAcentral describes it as "tRNA-Arg". It matches the Rfam family "tRNA". Rfam says of the family: Transfer RNA (tRNA) molecules are approximately 80 nucleotides in length. Lineage: Bacteria; Pseudomonadati; Pseudomonadota; Gammaproteobacteria; Chromatiales; Chromatiaceae. The record is from RNAcentral. RNAcentral also lists the same sequence under 3 other names.